GUGUUUUCGAACCCUUAUCAUUCUUUCGCCGCACUGUUAUUUUAAGCAUAAGUGGACGGAGAACUGAUAAAGGGCUCAAAACGUC
RNAcentral lists this microRNA precursor (85 nucleotides) under Belgica antarctica. Its description in RNAcentral is "microRNA mir-184". It matches the Rfam family "mir-184 microRNA precursor family". Lineage: Eukaryota; Metazoa; Arthropoda; Insecta; Diptera; Chironomidae. The record is from RNAcentral.